Molecule: ribosomal RNA, 497 nt
Filed under: uncultured bacterium
Lineage: Bacteria
Description: partial 16S ribosomal RNA
Rfam family: Bacterial small subunit ribosomal RNA
Source: RNAcentral
GAUGAACGCCGGCGGCGUGCCUAAUACAUGCAAGUCGAGCGAACGGACGAGAAGCUUGCUUCUCUGAUGUUAGCGGCGGACGGGUGAGUAACACGUGGAUAACCUACCUAUAAGACUGGGAUAACUUCGGGAAACCGGAGCUAAUACCGGAUAAUAUUUUGAACCGCAUGGUUCAAAAGUGAAAGACGGUCCUGCUGUCACUUAUAGAUGGAUCCGCGCUGCAUUAGCUAGUUGGUAAGGUAACGGCUUACCAAGGCAACGAUGCAUAGCCGACCUGAGAGGGUGAUCGGCCACACUGGAACUGAGACACGGUCCAGACUCCUACGGGAGGCGGCAGUAGGGAAUCUUCCGCAAUGGGCGAAAGCCUGACGGAGCAACGCCGCGUGAGUGAUGAAGGUCUUCGGAUCGUAAAACUCUGUUAUUAGGGAAGAACAUAUGUGUAAGUAACUGUGCACAUCUUGACGGUACCUAAUCAGAAAGCCACGGCUAACUACGUG